This 515-nucleotide ribosomal RNA is filed under the name uncultured bacterium. Its description in RNAcentral is "partial 16S ribosomal RNA". It matches the Rfam family "Bacterial small subunit ribosomal RNA", at positions 28 to 523 of the family's 1533-position model. The record is from RNAcentral.
GAUGAACGCUGGCGGCGUGCCUAAUACAUGCAAGUCGAGCGAAUGGAUUGAGAGCUUGCUCUUAUGAAGUUAGCGGCGGACGGGUGAGUAACACGUGGGUAACCUGCCCAUAAGACUGGGAUAACUCCGGGAAACCGGGGCUAACACCGGAUAACAUUUUGAACCGCAUGGUUCGAAAUUGAAAGGCGGCUUCGGCUGUCACUUAAGGACGGACCCGCGUCGCAUUAGCUAGUUGGUGAGGUAACGGCUCCCCAGGGCAACGAUGCGUAGCCGACCUGAGAGGGUGAUCGGCCACACUGGGACUGAGACACGGCCCAGACUCCUACGGGAGGCAGCAGUAGGGAAUCUUCCGCAAUGGACGAAAGUCUGACGGAGCAACGCCGCGUGAGUGAUGAAGGCUUUCGGGUCGUAAAACUCUGUUGUUAGGGAAGAACAAGUGCUAGUUGAAUAAGCUGGCACCUUGACGGUACCUAACCAGAAAGCCACGGCUAACUACGUGCCAGCAGCCGCGGUAA